RNAcentral lists this ribosomal RNA (497 nucleotides) under uncultured bacterium. Its description in RNAcentral is "partial 16S ribosomal RNA". It matches the Rfam family "Bacterial small subunit ribosomal RNA", at positions 28 to 507 of the family's 1533-position model. The record is from RNAcentral.
GACGAACGCUGGCGGCGUGCCUAAUACAUGCAAGUUGAGCGCUGAAGGUUGGUACUUGUACCAACUGGAUGAGCAGCGAACGGGUGAGUAACGCGUGGGGAAUCUGCCUUUGAGCGGGGGACAACAUUUGGAAACGAAUGCUAAUACCGCAUAAAAACUUUAAACACAAGUUUUAAGUUUGAAAGAUGCAAUUGCAUCACUCAAAGAUGAUCCCGCGUUGUAUUAGCUAGUUGGUGAGGUAAAGGCUCACCAAGGCGAUGAUACAUAGCCGACCUGAGAGGGUGAUCGGCCACAUUGGGACUGAGACACGGCCCAAACUCCUACGGGAGGCAGCAGGAGGGGAUCUUCGGGAAUGGACGAAAGGCUGAACGAGCAACGCCGCGGGAGGGAAGAAGGGUUUCGGAUCGUAAAACUCUGUUGGUAGAGAAGAACGUUGGUGAGAGUGGAAAGCUCAGCAAGUGACGGUAACUACCCAGAAAGGGACGGCUAACUACGUG